Molecule: small nuclear RNA, 106 nt
Organism: Heterocephalus glaber (naked mole-rat)
Lineage: Eukaryota; Metazoa; Chordata; Mammalia; Rodentia; Bathyergidae
Source: Ensembl
GUGCUCACGUCGCCAGCACAUAUUUUAAAAUUGGAACGAUACUGAGAAGUCUAAAUGGCCCUUGAGCAAGGAUGACGCACACAUUUGUGAAACAUUCCAUAUUCUU